This 431-nucleotide ribosomal RNA is filed under the name uncultured bacterium. Its description in RNAcentral is "partial 16S ribosomal RNA". It matches the Rfam family "Bacterial small subunit ribosomal RNA", at positions 29 to 507 of the family's 1533-position model. The record is from RNAcentral.
AGCGAACGCUGGCGGCAGGCUUAACACAUGCAAGUCGAGCGCCCCGCCAGGGGAGCGGCAGACGGGAGAGUAACACGUGGGAACAUACCUUUUGGUUCGGAACAACUGAGGGAAACUUCAGCUAAUACCGGAUAAGCCCUUACGGGGAAAGAUUUAUCGCCGAAAGAUUGGCCCGCGUCUGAUUAGCUAGUUGGUGAGGUAACGGCUCACCAAGGCGACGAUCAGUAGCUGGUCUGAGAGGAUGAUCAGCCUCACUGGGACUGAGACACGGCCCAGACUCCUACGGGAGGCAGAAGUGGGGAAUAUUGGACAAUGGGGGCAAUCCUGAUCCAGCCAUGCCGCGUGAGUGAUGAAGGCCUUAGGGUUGUAAAGCUCUUUUGCCCGGGAAGAUAAUGACGGUACCGGGAGAAUAAGCCCCGGCUAACUUCGUG